This 282-nucleotide long non-coding RNA is filed under the name Brassica napus (rape). RNAcentral's name for it is "long non-coding RNA (BNAP_LNC026183)". Lineage: Eukaryota; Viridiplantae; Streptophyta; Magnoliopsida; Brassicales; Brassicaceae. The record is from RNAcentral.
GUGGGGGAUUUGAUCAUGCAUUACGGUCCAUGGGGGGAGAUCUCGGUCGCUUUAGUCUGUUUUCUUGGGGUUUCCUUGGUGGUUUGAACUGGGGAUUCUUUUCACCGUUGAUAUUACUCUCAAGUCUCUGCAGUCUCCUGAGCUCUUGCUAUUUAUCAGUCAACAGAGCGCACAAGUUCUCAUCAUGAGAGAUAUGUUUACAGUUGAAGCAGUGUCUGUGGAGGCCAUCAUACGUUAAAGUAACUCGCCCUACAUCACCAUUAGGGAAACCAACUCUACUUU